UGGGGAAUAUUGGACAAUGGGCGAAAGCCUGAUCCAGCAAUGCCGCGUGAGUGAUGAAGGCCCUAGGGUUGUAAAGCUCUUUUACCCGGGAUGAUAAUGACAGUACCGGGAGAAUAAGCUCCGGCUAACUCCGUGCCAGCAGCCGCGGUAAUACGGAGGGAGCUAGCGUUGUUCGGAAUUACUGGGCGUAAAGCGCGCGUAGGCGGUCCAUCAAGUCAGAGGUGAAAGCCCGGGGCUCAACCCCGGAACUGCCUUUGAAACUGGCGGACUAGAAUCUUGGAGAGGCGAGUGGAAUUCCGAGUGUAGAGGUGAAAUUCGUAGAUAUUCGGAAGAACACCAGUGGCGAAGGCGACUCGCUGGACAAGUAUUGACGCUGAGGUGCGAAAGCGUGGGGAGCAAACAGGAUUAGAUACCCCGGUAGUCCACGCCGUAAACGAUGAUAACUAGCUGUCCGGGCUCAUGGAGUUUGGGUGGCGCAGCUAACGCAUUAAGUUAUCCGCCG
Molecule: ribosomal RNA, 502 nt
Filed under: uncultured Pseudomonadota bacterium
Lineage: Bacteria; Pseudomonadati; Pseudomonadota
Description: bacterial SSU rRNA
Rfam family: Bacterial small subunit ribosomal RNA
Source: RNAcentral